AUUAAAAGUUUAAAUUGUUGUGCGAGAGAGAGCAGUCAAACCGUCUACACACACCUGUGCGUUUGUUCAACAUUAAACGAACACAUGUUCAAGGAUCUGAAAGGUGCGUGUUUUUGCUACUACUUUGCUCGCUCGAUUUAAUGAACGGCUCGUUAUUCACCUUAUCGCGAUAUCAUAGCGCGCGAUUUCAAAAAACGACGUGCGCGCCUCGUGCUCCAUUUGUCUUUACCACCUCCCUGAGGCGGUCAGCUGAUUAAAGCGGCUGAUAAUGUGGCUCGGAAUAGCUAACUAUAGCUUUAUCAUUCAUCUUUAUAUACAGCGAUAAAAUGGAGACAUCAGCUCCACCUGGGCUAGAAAUCUCCACCUAGCCAGUGAUGCUAUAGGCAGAGGGAAUUUCCUGCAGGACAUGAGGCCACCUGCUGUUCCCAAAAGAGCAAACAGCACCAAGUCUGUCUGUCCGUCUACUUGUCUGUCUAUUUAAAAAACAUCACUUGUGUGGUUGGGUGUGCAUUAUAUAUUAUCCGAGACUAAAAGGUUUAAUAACUAAUGUUAAUAACUAAUGUUGAUUGUAUUUCCAGUGUUGAACAAGAUCUUUAUGCAUAUUAUAAAAACCUAUUUAUUAAUUAAGUAAGAACAGCAUGUGGAGGUGUAAAUAUGAAACCAGAAUACUUUUUAUAUUUGUCCUAAAACUGUUUGUUAUUAAACUAAUGUACACAAACUAUAGCUGUGCUGUGAAAACAUCCUUUUAUUCAGUAAAUAUGAAAAAUAUAUUGAGGUAAUUUGUUAAAUUAAAGGUAAUCAUUAUAAUUACUUUAGGCAGUUAAAUUCACAAUUAUUUUUGCAACUCCUCCCAAAACAAAGAAGGAAGAUACACAAUCAGAAAUGAAUACCGUCAUUUAAUAGAAUUCUACUACAAUUUAGCGUUAGUACUUUUUUCAAAAAUAUACACAAAAGUAUGUCUAGCUGCUGAUGUGUAAUAACCAGUGUUUUCCAGAUUAGUCAAGAACAGUCCACAUGAUUUAAGUAUUUGAAAGAUAUUUGACAUGACCGAUUAGAUAAUGUUUUAUCUACCUACAGCACCAUCAAAAUAAAGCUCCAAAAUUAUUAGACAAAUACAGUUUUAAAAAUAAAAAAUACACAAAAGUUUGAAUAUUUAAGAAAUAAAAUGUCUUGAAAAUCCUUAAUUGAAAAAGAGUUUCCACUUAUUGGGAAGUUAAACUCCCAUAUCCUUUGCUAUUCUGUGUAUCUUUAAAAAAAAAUCCCUUUGUAUUUUUUCUUUUCUUUUUUUAACUAACUGCUAAAGCUGUGUUUGCUAAACAGUGCAAAGCGGAGACAAACAAACCAGUGGCAGGAACAACCCGAGGCAUGAUGUAAACAGUAUAAAGGCUUGAUGUGAAGACCGAAAACAGAGUCAAUACUUGG
Tachysurus fulvidraco (yellow catfish) is the source of this 1422-nucleotide long non-coding RNA. RefSeq lists it as uncharacterized. The transcript has 3 exons. NCBI's taxonomy places the organism in Eukaryota, Metazoa, Chordata, Actinopteri, Siluriformes, Bagridae. The record is from RefSeq and is a predicted model, not a curated record.